RNAcentral lists this long non-coding RNA (226 nucleotides) under Lathyrus oleraceus (garden pea). Its description in RNAcentral is "Pisum sativum (pea) long non-coding RNA (PSAT_LNC029312)". The record is from RNAcentral. Lineage: Eukaryota; Viridiplantae; Streptophyta; Magnoliopsida; Fabales; Fabaceae.
CAGUUUGACAACCUCUUUCUUCUUCAGCACCCGCAUCAAUUGAUUCUCUUCGUUUGUGGACAAAUUAUUGCUGAUGAUCACGGGUUUAGUACAGUUAUCAUCAAGGUACACAUAUUUCAAAUGUGGCUCCAGUUUUGGUUCCUCCACUAUAUUGGUCAUAUCCACGCCUUCCCUUGUCUCAUCAUGAUAGAAAAGUUCUCCGUAAGCCUCUAAUUCAUGCAACCAU